Molecule: ribosomal RNA, 387 nt
Filed under: uncultured Ureaplasma sp.
Lineage: Bacteria; Bacillati; Mycoplasmatota; Mycoplasmoidales; Mycoplasmoidaceae
Description: bacterial SSU rRNA
Rfam family: Bacterial small subunit ribosomal RNA
Source: RNAcentral
GAUUAGCUAAUACCGAAUAAUAACAUCAAUAUCGCAUGAGAAGAUGUAGAAAGUCGCGUUUGCGACGCUUUUGGAUGGGGGGUGCGACGUAUCAGAUAGUUGGUGAGGUAAAUGGGCUCACCAAGUCAAUGACGCGUAGCUGUACUGAGAGGUAGAACAGCCACAAUGGGGACUGAGACACGGCCCAUACUCCUACGGGAGGCAGCAGUAGGGAAUUUUUCACAAUGGGCGAAAGCCUUAUGAAGCAAUGCCGCGUGAACGAUGAAGGUCUUAUAGAUUGUAAAGUUCUUUUAUAUGGGAAGAAACGCUAAGAUAGGAAAUGAUUUUAGUUUGACUGUACCAUUUGAAUAAGUAUCGGCUAACUAUGUGCCAGCAGCCGCGGUAAAU